Molecule: long non-coding RNA, 698 nt
Filed under: Equus caballus (horse)
Lineage: Eukaryota; Metazoa; Chordata; Mammalia; Perissodactyla; Equidae
Description: lncRNA (ENSECAG00000049177.1)
Source: RNAcentral
GCCCCAAAGAGGCUGCAGCAGCUGGACUCCUGCUAGAUUUUGAUCUCACUCCAAAGGCCCAGCCCUUCCGGGCAGGGGCAGCCUCAGCCUUAUAGGAACCUGAGCCUGGGCUGGGAGGCAGGAGAUCUGGGUUGCUGGCCUGGCCCUGCGGCUCCCUUCUGUGGGGCUGGGGCCCGUCGUGGGGCUCCUCGCAAGGCUGACGGGAGAGGGACCGCCAUAAGAAGCAGAAAAGUGCCUGUGAGGGCUUGACAGAUGACGGAAGAUUCCUCCUCCAGCUGUCAAGAACUCCAGCCCGCAGUUUGCCUCCAACUCCAUCAUGCGGGACCGCUCCUCUGCAUCCUGGCUUCAAACGGCUGUUUGAUCAGCUUUUCAUCCAUUUUCCAAAAGUGUGGCAAUUUAGGGAUGUUCUGAAUCUUGCACUCUGACGAUAUACCAGUGUGGCCCCAAAGCUGACAUCGGAGUGUCAGAGCAGUGGAAUCUUGGCACGUGGCCUCUCAAAUCUGGAUUCCUUCACGUGGCAUAAUGCGAUUGCGUUCACCCACGCUGUUUGCGGGAUUCCCUCGUGUCGUCCGUGAUUCUGCCGACUGCUGGGUGCGCUCCACUGUGUGGACGACCACAGUUUGUUCGUCCCUUCGCCAGGUGAAGGAUGUGGGCUGUUCCCAGAUUUUGGUGGUUAUGAAUAAAGCCAUGUAAACAUU